UAAACCGGUUUAAUGUUUUCUGCACAGACCCUGGCUUUUCUUAAAUUUUAUAUAUUGGAAAGCCUGUGUUUGUAUUGGACCUUCUGGUUUC
RNAcentral lists this microRNA precursor (91 nucleotides) under Ursus americanus (American black bear). RNAcentral describes it as "mir-1284 microRNA precursor family". It matches the Rfam family "mir-1284 microRNA precursor family". Lineage: Eukaryota; Metazoa; Chordata; Mammalia; Carnivora; Ursidae. RNAcentral also lists the same sequence under 1 other name. The record is from Rfam by way of RNAcentral.